CAGCAGCCGCGGGAAUACGUAGGGUGCAAGCGUUGUCCGGAAUUAUUGGGCGUAAAGAGCUCGUAGGCGGUUUGUCGCGUCUGCUGUGAAAACUGGAGGCUCAACCUCCAGCCUGCAGUGGGUACGGGCAGACUAGAGUGCGGUAGGGGAGAUUGGAAUUCCUGGUGUAGCGGUGGAAUGCGCAGAUAUCGGGAGGAACACCGAUGGCGAAGGCAGAUCUCUGGGCCGUAACUGACGCUGAGGAGCGAAAGCGUGGGGAGCGAACAGGAUUAGAUACCCCUGUAGUCCCUGUCUCUUAUAC
Molecule: ribosomal RNA, 301 nt
Filed under: uncultured bacterium
Lineage: Bacteria
Description: partial 16S ribosomal RNA
Rfam family: Bacterial small subunit ribosomal RNA
Source: RNAcentral